AAUGGUCCCAUAUCUACAAUGAAUGGCCCCAAAUCCACAACAAAUGGCCCCAAAUCCACAACAAAUGGCCCCAAAUCCACAACAAAACACCCCAAAUUCACAUCAAAUGGACCCAAAUCCACUAGAAACGACCCCAAAUCCACAACAAAUGGCCCCAAAUUCAUUGCAAACAGCCCCAAAUCAACAGCAAAUGGCCCCAAAACCACACAAAUGGCCCCAAAUCUACAAUUGGCCCCAAAUCCACAAUGAAUGGCCCCAAAUCCACAACAAAUGGCCCCAAAUCUACAAUAAAUGGCCCCAAAUCCACCACAAAAUACCCCAAAUCCGGAACAGAACAACCUAAAUCCACAAUGAAUGGCCCCAAAUCCACAUCCAAUGGCCCCAAAUCCACAACAAAUGGCCCCAAACCAACAGUAAAUGGCCCCAAAUCCACAAUGAAUGGCCCCAAAUCCACCACAAAUGGCUUUAAAUCCACCACAAAUGGCUUCAAAUCCACCACAAAUGGCCCCAAAUCCACAGCAAAUGGCCCCAAAUUCACAACAAAUGGCCCCAAAUUCACAAUAAAUGGCCCCAAAUCCACCACAAAAUACCCCAAAUCCAGAACAGAACACCCUAAAUCCACAACAAAUGGCCCCAUAUCUACAACAAAUGGCCCCAAACCAAUAGUAAAUGGCCCCAAAUCCACAUCAAAUGGCUUCAAAUCCACCACAAAUGGCCCCAAAUCCACAAUAAAUGGCCCCAAAUCCACAAUGAAUGUCCCCGAAUCUACAAUAAAUGGCCUCGAAUCCACAACAAAAUACUCCAAGUCCCCUUCAAUGCCCUGCAAGCCCCCACCCUCCCAUUGCUACAACAGCCCCAAAUCUGCAGGAAACAACCCCAAAAUGACUGCAGAUGCCCCACAUCUGCUGCACGUGGCCCCAAAUGGGCAGGAAUUGACCCCAAAUGUGACACAAAGAGCCCCAAAUCCUGAUGAAAUGACCCCAAAGUGAGGCCAGAGCACAACCCUGGUUG
RNAcentral lists this long non-coding RNA (1011 nucleotides) under Coturnix japonica (Japanese quail). Its description in RNAcentral is "lncRNA (ENSCJPG00005000952.1)". The record is from RNAcentral. Lineage: Eukaryota; Metazoa; Chordata; Aves; Galliformes; Phasianidae.